GAUAUACCUUAAUAACCGAGCUGAUGAUACCACUGCGAUACCUACUUCUAUUGUCCAUCAGCCCAAGAUGGUUUCCUCCCCUCCAUGAUUUCCUUCCACCAUGGUUUCAACUUUCAUCACCAUGGUGAAUAAUGGGUGUGACUCAUCUUUCUUCAUUCCACCAUAAUGGCGACCAUGGCGAGUGUUGAUUAAACGUGUUGCGAAAUGUUGAGUGCGUUUUGGGUCGUUUAGACAAUCAUAAAAAAAAUUUUUGAACAGCAAAACUGUUGCGUUAUGCUGAACGCAAAAAUGUAGUCAACGUUACUGAUUGAAUAAGGGUAGUACCCAUAGCGCUUGCUGUCCAUGUGGCUUCUGUUAACUGAUAAACUGCUGUUUUCAGCAUAGUAAGCCUGACCAUGGACGGUAUUCGUCGUCGGCAGAAGACUGUCCAGGUCUGUUUUUUUGUUGGGAGUCUGUUUUUACAGACUCUUGUUUUGGGUUUUGGCACUGACUUUGAGGAGAACCAUGACAUACCAGACCUACUAUGCUGAGACACAGUUUUGUAUUUUUUGCAUCCUGAGCCUGUAAUGAAACUAUUGAGUAAAGAUUUUGAUGAUUAAA
Long non-coding RNA from Trachymyrmex cornetzi, 600 nucleotides. RefSeq lists it as uncharacterized. The record is from RefSeq and is a predicted model, not a curated record. The transcript has 2 exons. NCBI's taxonomy places the organism in Eukaryota, Metazoa, Arthropoda, Insecta, Hymenoptera, Formicidae.